Molecule: ribosomal RNA, 494 nt
Filed under: uncultured bacterium
Lineage: Bacteria
Description: partial 16S ribosomal RNA
Rfam family: Bacterial small subunit ribosomal RNA
Source: RNAcentral
GACGAACGCUGGCGGCGUGCUUAACAUAUGCAAGUCGAACGGAAAGGCCUGCUUUCCCUUGUGGAUUGCGGGUACUCGAGUGGCGAACGGGUGAGUAACACGUGAGUGAUCUGCCCCCAACUUGGGUAUAAGCCUGGGAAACUGGGUCUAAUUCCCGAUAGGACUGCAGGGUGGUGCCUGUGGUGGAAAACGAUUUUCUAGUGGUUGGGGAUGAGCUCGCGGCCUAUCAGCUUGUUGGUGGGGUAAUGGCCUACCAAGGCGGCGACGGGUAGCCGGCCUGAGAGGGUGGACGGACACAUUGGGACUGAGAUACGGCCCAGACUCCUACGGGAGGCAGCAGUGGGGAAUAUUGCACAAUGGGAGGAAGCCUGAUGCAGCGACGCCGCGUGGGGGAUGACGGCCUUCGGGUUGUAAACUCCUUUCGACCGCGAGGAAGCCACCUGGUUGGAAGGGUGGUGACGGUAGUGGUAGAAGAAGCACCGGCUAACUACGUG